GACGAACGCUGGCGGCGUGCCUAAUACAUGCAAGUCGAACGCAUUUUCUUUCACCGUAGCUUGCUACACCGAAAGAAAAUGAGUGGCGAACGGGUGAGUAACACGUGGGUAACCUGCCCAUCAGCGGGGGAUAACACUUGGAAACAGGUGCUAAUACCGCAUAAUUCCAUUUACCGCAUGGUAAAUGGAUGAAAGGCGCUUUUGCGUCACUGAUGGAUGGACCCGCGGUGCAUUAGCUAGUUGGUGGGGUAACGGCCUACCAAGGCUGCGAUGCAUAGCCGACCUGAGAGGGUGAUCGGCCACCCUGGGACUGAGACACGGCCCAGACUCCUACGGGAGGCAGCAGUAGGGUAUCUUCGGCAAUGGACGCAAGUCUGACCGAGCAACGCCGCGUGAGUGAAGAAGGUUUUCGGAUCGUAAAACUCUGUUGUUAGAGAAGAACAAGGAUGAGAGUGGAAAGUUCAUCCCUUGACGGUAUCUAACCAGAAAGCCACGGCUAACUACGUG
RNAcentral lists this ribosomal RNA (507 nucleotides) under uncultured bacterium. RNAcentral's name for it is "partial 16S ribosomal RNA". It matches the Rfam family "Bacterial small subunit ribosomal RNA", at positions 28 to 507 of the family's 1533-position model. The record is from RNAcentral.